GGGUGCGAUCAUACUAGCGUUAAUGCACCGGAUCCCAUCAGAACUUCACAGUUAAGUGUGCUUGGGUUAGAGUACUACUGGGAUGGGUGACCUCCCGAAAAGUCCUGGUGUUGCACCCU
Molecule: non-coding RNA, 119 nt
Organism: Picea glauca (white spruce)
Lineage: Eukaryota; Viridiplantae; Streptophyta; Pinopsida; Pinales; Pinaceae
Source: Rfam